UCUCUCAUCGUAUAACGGUAAAAUUACAUACACGGAAAUAUAGCUUCGGUGGAUUCCCAUGCUGUUUCUGUGUAGGAUCUGGGUUCGAAUCCCAGUGAGAGUG
Non-coding RNA from Pluteus cervinus, 103 nucleotides. The record is from the annotation of a GenBank genome assembly. NCBI's taxonomy places the organism in Eukaryota, Fungi, Basidiomycota, Agaricomycetes, Agaricales, Pluteaceae.